UUCACAGGCUGCUUCGAAGCCCUCCCUACC
RNAcentral lists this non-coding RNA (30 nucleotides) under Homo sapiens (human). Lineage: Eukaryota; Metazoa; Chordata; Mammalia; Primates; Hominidae. The record is from RNAcentral.